ACAGCAGCACUGCAGCUGAGUCAGCCAAUGGGUGCCCUUCUUCUGUUAAAAUCUUUUAGGUCUUGGUUUGAUUUCAGUUAUGUCAGGUAGAGAUUAAAGGUAUAAAAAGGGUGUGAUUUCUACAAUAAAGCAAUCUCCUUUGGAUGCAUAAGCUUUGCUCCCCAUUUCAGCAUGAACAGUGUUUUAAGCCUUUAAAUGAGCUCUCUGCCCCAGCUGGGUCCCUACUGUGGCAAAACCUGGAGUGUCUGCCUGCCUGGACAUGUGAGGAGAAUGCCCUGAAAUCCCUGGCCUGGUGUCUAACAAGCUUGAGCCUGCAGUCUGUUUUCUGCAGAUCCUUGAUGAAAAUGGACUCAUCCUGGUUCUGAGCACUUCUUGAAUGCACUGAAGCCCCACUCAACUAAAUACAUACAAUAGAAGCAUGUCUAAAUCUAAGAGCUAUGUUCUCUAAAUUUCUAGAUCUGAGAAUAAAAUCACAACAGGAGGCCUGAUUCAAAGCAGCAAACUGCAAUGCAGCAGAUGGGAUUUCCAAGAGUAUUGCCCUGUCCUCACUUAUGUUGGAGUCAAUGAGAGUUUUCACAUCGAUAUUUAUGGGAAAGAGAAUCCCAUGGAACACGUGGAGUCCCUCUGUCAGGAUAUCUCUCACCAGCCUGGAAUCCUGGAGUGAGGCUUCAUCUGUGACCAGAUGCCUUUGAAAUGGUGAAACUUUGGAAUGGUGUGGAUGGUACAUCUCAGCCCUAGACAGAUGUCUAAAAUCACAGAGAAGAAUCACACUCUGGAGGUGCUAGACUGUCUGUCGACUUUCAAGUGAAUCCAGAUGAGCAGCUGGAACAAGAUACUUCAUUCUGGAUAGCUAAAAUUAGGUGAUAUGUAUCUAUACCAAUUACCUACAAAUUCUUGCUGCCAGCAUGGCUUACAAGGACUAGUUUAGAUUAUGUGUACUUGUCAGGGAGCAAUGAGUGAAAUUUGUUUUGACAUUGUUUCACUCUAAUGCGGCAGAAGAUGGUAAGAAUAUGCAAGCACAGGGUCCUUCUGCAUAAUUUGUAUAAUGAUGAUGAUUAUGGUACUGGCAACAUUUGUGAGAAAGAGAGCAAUUGACAGAGGAUGGGAAGAAGCACAAGCAAAUAAACUAACACAAUGAUCUAAUCUCACCAGAAAAAAAACAGAGCCAAAUUUGACCCAAGGAUUGCAAUUGCAAAUAGGCGUUAAUAGGAUUCCUCAGUGAAUGUAGCAGAACAUAAUUUAAUCUGAAGUGCACUUGAGAAAUUAGAAAUGCCUCCCUUUUGCUGCUUUUUGUCAUGGCAGAGGUCUGGAUAAGUGUUAGGUUUUACUGUAAAUUAACAAGAUUAGCAUGUCUGCAAUUUGUCUACAAAUAGUCGUCAUCUGUUUAAUUUCCCUCAGUGCUGUCACCCUCCAUUUUAUCCUCUUGAGAUGCUUCAAGGGGAAGAGAAUCGUCAGGGCACAAAAAUUAUUUAAAUUUCAUUUUAAAAGACCAUCUUGGUUUCUUAGGCUGUCUUCUAAUCAGGCUAACCAUCUUGAAGAGUAAAUACAGAAUUAAUCAAGCUUGUGCUUUCAUGUUCACAAAAACUCCUGAAAUUCAUAGCAUACACUGCAAAGGGGUUAAACUCAUAAUAUUAUAGAACUUUGUUAAAAUGACCUAUGUCUUGUUUUCUGGAGAAAGGUUGAAUAAGUGAACAGGGUACAUAAGCAAUCAUUGUGUCAAGUACUUCUCUAAGAGCAGCUAAUUAGAUCCACUUCUAUUCAAAGAUAACAGGAAUUACAUUGGAAAAGGCUUUAAAAUAAAUGGAACUUUUUCUUCAGUUAAAGAAUAUUGAGGUUAUCAUUGGUGUAAUUUCGAAAAGUCCUUUCAUUGCUGUUACUCAGAAAUUAAAGUGAAAUCUGUUCUUAACCACUCCUUCCACUAAGCUUCCCCAAAAUGACUUUCACCCUCAACACUUUCAGAUCCAUUUGGCAGUUUAAAAAAAUAAAGAAAAAAAAGAGGAGGUCCAGUGGAAAUUGCCAACCUUUGCAGGGUCUAACCUCAGCUUCUUCUUCCUUGAGGCUCAAAUAGCAUUUCUUCCUCUCCACAGACAAAAGUAUCAUAUAGUGAGCAAAAAAUGCUUUUCACCAUAUGAUUAAUCCCAAAGUGCUUAUAUGGACUCAUCAUGUUUUAUGCCAUGCAGGCACAAAGGGAUACACAGCACAUUAUUAUUACAAAUGUGGCUCUAUUAUAUAUGUUUCAUUUGCAGAUUAUGCUCUUGCACAUGAACCCUUUCAACUCUCAAACUGUACAGCACAAGGGCUUACACAAUACCAAGUAAUUUUUGGCAGCUGCUGCUUAGUCUUACAUUGCUGCCAGAUCUCUGGCAGAAUGAGCUGAAUCCCUGUCUGGUAUACAACCAGCACAAGGUCCUCAUUAUACUGGAAUUUAAUACUCAGGGCCAGAAGGCUCUACACACAAUGCAAACCCAGAUUCACUCCCUUGCCUUUUGAGUGAACAACUGUUAAAUACGUGGUGCCUUACAAAGCUGCCAUAAUUAAAUGGAUAACUAUUUAUAUACACAUUCAGAUCCAAUGUAAAUAAAUAAGAAUUAGGAAAUUAAUGGGAUAAAUAUUAGAAGUUAAAUAUGCUAGAAUACAUGCAUUUAUGACACCAAGGAACAAUGACAACUGGCACUGAAAUCUAUGUAGGGCAGUUAUGACAUGCAGAAUGUCAAAGGCAGCAUGAAGUCUG
Molecule: long non-coding RNA, 2731 nt
Organism: Cyanistes caeruleus (blue tit)
Lineage: Eukaryota; Metazoa; Chordata; Aves; Passeriformes; Paridae
Source: RefSeq, a predicted model, not a curated record